UUUUUUUUUUUUGCGUCAUGUCAUACUUCUCUGUCGUUGCCACACUUCUAACCUGUUUUGUGUUUGGACUAAUGCACCAGGCACGGAACUUCGUCCUUGAAACGCUGUCCAUCCUCCUACCGUGUGUCUGUCCACCUUUCUAGUGUUACAAUGAAAUACAUCACAUCUCUACUUCUGCUGGAGUUGAUGUAUGUCACAGUACUUCCAGGUCUUAAUGCAGGACAAAUCAAAGCUCAGCCUGAAGUGACUGGAUACGUCGGCCAUGAUGUCACCCUGCCUUGUCCACUCAUCAAAAAUAGAGCAGAAAACAUUUCUCAAGUUGAGUGGAAGCUCCAACAGCCAAACUGUUCAGAAAUCUCCAUUAUUGUUUUUAUUAGUAGAGAGCAAUUUACUGUUAAAGAUACAUUUCUGAAGGACAGAGUGGAGAUUUCAGAACAAUCUCUGAUCAUUAGAGAUGUGAAAAUGAGAGACGCAGGGUCCUACACCUGUAGCCUUUCAGCCUUUCCUAGUGGUAUAUUGGAAGGAACCACCACCCUUGUUGUCCUAGAUGGGACACAUUUAUCAUCAGGUGAGAUUUCUGCUAUCGUGAUCUCUGUCCUGCUACUGUCAGUGAUCCUGUUAGCUGUAGCUUACCUCGUCUUCAUCAAAAGACCGGCUUCUUUUGUCAGACAGCAGGUCUUCAUUGAUACUGAUGGUCCAGUGAGGGAUGUGGCCAGGCCGUCUUUUAUUGUGAAAGAGCAGGAUUUGGUCUAUUCUGACGUCAAGUGCAAACCGAAAAGAGUCGCUGAUCCUUUCUCCAAUGACAGACACACACAGAGCAUGCAUGUUGAUGAUGUCACGUACUCCGAGGUCCUGGUUUCAAGUAGGUUCUAAAUGAGAUCAAAUGUAUGCUGCAGUAAUGCUGAAGGACUUUUCUUGGACUCAUGGAGGACUUCAGAAAAAUGCUCUUAAAGCAGCUGUAUGUAAGUUAAUGUGUUCCCCGCAUGUUGGUGUCAUUAAGUAGAAUCUCAGCAUCCUGAAAGCUUUUAACAAAUUAAAACCUCUUCAAACCAAACACAACCUUUUUGUCCUCUACGGAAUCACAGCCGCUGUUUAAGAUCACAGGAAACAUUAUACUGUAUCUAUGUAUUAUCUAUUCAACCUUAUGUAAACACUGAGGAAUUAUUCAGGACAUUUCCUCAUUUGAAUAAGAACGAUACUGUACAAAGAAUGAAUACAUACAAUAUUUAUAAAUAACAGGUGUAAAAUGACAAGAGUGCAGUUAAAACUGGUGUCAUUCUUUUUAGGUUUACCUUCAGGGUUUAGUGUUUCAAUGUGUUGUAAAAUGUUUCAUGUGUGCUAAUAUUUUUAAAUCAGCGCUAAAUACAAAGUACAGCUGAGGCUGAGAGGAAUGUCUAAAGCUUUGCAGGUCAUUUGUCAAAGAAAUGUAAAUGAUAGAAAAAAAAAAUCGAAGCUUAGAGAAACGGAUGGGAAAAGAUGAUUAAAGAUCAAAGUUUUUUUUCAGUACAUGCUCUGGGCACUAUGAAUUUCUGUAGUGAAGUCAAUCCGUACAGUAGACGUCAAGAUAUUUGUCAGAGUAAGUGUCGACAUAUUGAUGGCUCUAGAGAAAAAGUCACACGUCUCAGUUUGAACGACAUAACGUUUCCUCUGCAGAGCCUUUCAAGCGUGUAUGAUGUUAACUAAGAAUAGGCAACAACUAGCAACCCCAAAGAUGCUUUUAAUAUUAAAAGUGGAAGUGAAAAACCUUUCUUCCUUCUUUUCCCCAUGCCUUGCUGUGUGGUGAGACAUUUGAGCAGACCUCAGUUGCUACAUGUAACAGCGAGGUUGUAAUAGUUUUGAAUGUUUUAGUAUUUUCCUUUCAUUUCUUUUGAGUUUUCGUUGUCAAUUUUAGUUUAGUUUAUUUGUUGUUGUUUUUCAGAUUAUUUUUAGGCUUGUUGACACUGUAUUGUAAUGGGUAGAGUGCAGGAUGAGAGAGUGGGGAGUGACAUGUGGCAUAGUGCCCGGGGUUGGAGUCAAACCCGGGCUGCUGGCUUCAGGGACUAUACAACCUCCGUAGGCUACAUGGGGCAUGUGGUUUAAUGCUACAGUCUGUCUAGCGCACCAGUUUCUGUUUAGUUUUAGUUUUUCCUGAUGCUGCUUUGUGAAUGUAUUACUUUGUUGUAUGUGAUACCUGUCUGGGGUGAGACUCGAAAGGGCCACAGGAUACAUUGUGUGAUAAAAACUCAAAAGCAUUUAGAAAAAUCUAUUCAAACAGGCUACAAAAGAUGAAUAUCCAAGACCAUCCACGAAGGACAAACCACAUGUGUCAAUCAGUGUUUGGAUUCAGUAUCCGCACAACAUACUCAGAAUCAGUUAUCAAUUUUUGGUAAGCCUCGUUUUUAUUUUUGUUAAUGAAAAUGUUUAUGACAUUCUAGGUUGUGUUCCUUCAUUCGGUUUUUGUUAAUGAUAAUAACUUCGGCUCACAGCUCAGCUUGGCACAGACGAUCUCCGGCUCAAUCAAAUAAAACAGCAAACACCCGAAUAUAUCCGAGCCAUCAGUGCAUCAUUCUGCAUGAGAAUGUAAUCAUGUAAUGAAGACUGUUUUAUUGAUGUAUCAGGUAAAUAAGCUACUUUAUCGAUCUGCCAAAGUGUCACAUUAACUACUUGUCACACAGACAGGUGCAGUUCCUGUCUCAACAUUAUUACCAUGCUAGUAGAGCUCAUCACUCACAGUUUUUGUUCCUCUUUCAUUGUCUGAACGUCAAAGGAGGAAGGUCAAAAAGGAAGAUGAAAUUUGCACACAAAUUGACCCUAGUGUUGCAUUUUAAAAAAGGGCCAGAGCUGCGGGUGUUUGGGGAAUUCAAAAGGGACUCUAAAUGUGGUCAUUUUCAUGAUGGCCAUGAUAUACUUUUUGUCUUAAGUAAAUUGCUGUGUGCAUGUGAUCCUCAUAACGGGUGAAGUGUUUAUCAGUCAGAGAGGAUGGUUGGAAUUAUUGUGAAUAUUCUCUUAUGUCUCUUAUGUUCUCACUUCUUCUUUCCUUAUCCUGUCUUUUUCUUUGGAUAAAAAACAAGAAAUACUUAUUAUGAUGUAAUACUGUAUAGAUUUAAAUGCACAGACACUUCUCAAUAUUGUUUACUCUGUACUCUUGUCUGCUUACAGUCCUUUCUGCAGAUCAAUGUUCAGUGUUGAUUUCAGAAUACUGUACGCAGGUGUUGCAGUCUGAGCGAGUCAACUGUAAAAAGGUGACAAACUAUGUUUUGCAAAGUCUUACAUGAUCAUGAUCCAUGAAUGCUAACAGUCACUUUCUAUUUUCAUAGUUUACAGCAGCAUUUACUGGCAGUGAGAGGCUGUGGGUGUGAAAUUGUGUCUGAUGCUGGGUUGAGAUGCUAACGCUUGUACGUUGGUGUUAUGUUUCAUUUCUGUUUCAAUUAUGAGGCUUAAAUUGUCUUAUACUAAAAGUCAGUUAUUUAAAACUUUGAUUUCAGUUCAUGUAAGAAAUGCAUUUCAGUCUUGUUUUUUUAAAUCAAAUGCACAGACCUGUAGAUUGUUCUCACUUUAUCUUUCAAACAUAACUGUUUCGUUUGUGGUUGUUGAUGUGGGAUAAAGUUUUACAUUUUCACAGACCUCUCCCUUGUCCAUGGUGCAUCAUUUUCUUCUUGUGCUGCAGAGUUCUGUCAUGACAGGAAGCAGAUCAGAAAGAUAAGAAAGAAUAGUGUUUUGAGGUAACAGAUGUCUUAUCAGUUGAUCAUACAGUAUACGUGUAAGCAAUUCUUUUCUUUAAAAAAGCAUUGGCAUAUUUCUCUGUUACAACAAAUGAGCCUCACAAUCUGUCAGGUGGUCUGCUGUCAGUCACAUGUUGUGGUAAAUUGCUGGACUGAAAUUAUUUUUAUAAAAUCCUCACUUUUAUGUUGAGACCUUACAAGUUGUCAGGCAUCAUUUCUUCUUUUAUUCAACAACACUGAAGCCCUUCUCUGAACACUUUCAACAUAUGAAACACACCUCAUGUGCAACAGGAAAUUUUGUAAGACAGGAAAUCAAUGAGGCCGGUGGAUUGCAGUUUGAAGAAGACACAACUGUUAAAACACAAAGAUGUUUUCUUUCUGUCAGUUUGUUGAACUCUGCUAUUGGGCACAAUGAAAGUGUGCAGCCGAUCACUCCUUCUGUGGCUCAUUUACAUCACAAUCAGAGGUAAGACAAGACACUACAUGUUGGAUAUUUAUGAAAUUCUGAGAAUGGCGAAGAAGUUUUGAGAUAUUUUACGAUAGCAUUACAGUCAACAUGAAACUUAAAAUAUACUGAACUACAAGCCAACUUCUGCAUUCAAAACUGACAUUAGAAGGAUUUAAAACAAAGUAUGAGCUCUGAUGUGUUGUGAUCAUUGUGUUAUUACUAAUACAUUAAAGAGCUCAUGUGCUUGGAUAUGUUCAACUGGUUAAGUCAGUUGUACGUAUCUGCAUAGUUGGAUAGUGUACUCUAUAAAUGAUCAGCCUUCGUCCCUAAUGUAACUCAUAACAUGGAGCAAACCUAAAAAAAAAAAAGGCUCCAUUGAUAUGAAUUAUAAUUACUAUGCUUUUUUAAAUUAAGUUACUCAAGUGAAGUUCAAGAAUCUUCAAACAGUAAGUACAGCUCUGCAUGUGAUAUUUUCACAACUGUUUUUUCUGACAGGUCUUAAUGCAGGAGAAAUCAAAGCUCAGCCUGAAGUGACUGGAUACGUCGGCCAUGAUGUCACCCUGUCUUGUCCACUCAUCGAAAAUAGAGCAGAAAACAUUUCUCAAGUUGAGUGGAAGCUCCAACAGCCAAACUGUUCAGAAAUCUCCCAUUAUUGUUUUUAAUAGUAGAGAGCAAUUUACUGUUAAAGAUGCAUUUCUGAAGGACAGAGUGGAGAUUUCAGAACAAUCUCUGAUCAUUAGAGAUGUGAAAAUGAGAGACGCAGGGUCCUAUACCUGUAGCCUUUCAGCCUUUCCUAGUGGUAUAUUGGAAGGAACCACCACCCUUGUUGUCAAAGAACCAAUGUUGACGCCGGUAUCGCCGAUGUUAUUAACAAAGCUGAUUGUUGCUGGUGUGUUUUUCCUGAUAGUAGCGACCAUAGCAGCCACAACUUGCUGCAUCAUCAUCAAAACAAGACGUAAGGAUGUGGUCGAUCAUCAUGUCUACACUGACAUUGACAUGUAUCAGUAUUAGUUUCAGUUGCCUUGAUAGUAGCUCUUCUGCAUUUCAGAUACAGACGGUCCAGUGAUGAGUGACUGAAGAAGAUGAGCUCACAGUUUGACUGAGAAUAUGUCUUUAAAUUGUAGAUUAAACUUUCGAUGUUGUGUUGUUUUGCCAGUUUGCCAGUUCUACUAUUUCCAGGCGUGGAUUCACUCACUUUUAGAGAUUAUUUAAAGAAGCUUGUCUGUGCUCAUGAUUGAUAAUCAAAAAUCAUGUCAAUUAUAAUCAAGAAGCAAGAUACCAAAUUCAA
Labrus bergylta (ballan wrasse) is the source of this 5437-nucleotide non-coding RNA. NCBI's taxonomy places the organism in Eukaryota, Metazoa, Chordata, Actinopteri, Labriformes, Labridae. The record is from RefSeq and is a predicted model, not a curated record.